Melopsittacus undulatus (budgerigar) is the source of this 423-nucleotide long non-coding RNA. RefSeq lists it as uncharacterized. Lineage: Eukaryota; Metazoa; Chordata; Aves; Psittaciformes; Psittaculidae. The record is from RefSeq and is a predicted model, not a curated record. The transcript is spliced from 4 exons.
UCUCUGCCUGAGCUAUGCUGUAGGAGUGUGGGUUUGCAGCCCUGUUGCUGCCUGUGCUGCUUGGACAGACACUGCAUCUCCUGCAGACACAAAAAAGAGCAAGCAUCAGAGCAAAGGGCUAGUCAUGCAGGGAGGGAUUUUAAUCCCACAACGGGUUAAGAGCUGCUGACCAUCACAUCCUCUUCCCAUCCAGCCCCUCCUGCAUGGAUCUCUUCCUUGCACCAGGUCAUGCAGCAUGUCUUCCGCUGCUGUGAUGGGGGAAACUACACCCACUGCCAGGUGAUUAAAAAGUCUGCCUUACUGACCCCCACUGACCUUGCACGUCACCCUUCCCAAUUCCCAGAAAGCCUUGGGCAUUUGCCUGCUCUGUAAUCUUCAGCCAACACAGUUUAGGACAGGCUCCUUCCUUGCAGAAUAAAAUCC